CCGACCGGAUGGCCGAGUUGUCGCAGCCGUUGCUGGCCGCGGCGGGUGCCCGCCGGCAUCCGGUGCUCGGGUUCCGGAUCGCGCCGGGUCGGG
This 93-nucleotide transfer RNA is filed under the name Micromonospora gifhornensis. RNAcentral describes it as "tRNA-Ala". Lineage: Bacteria; Bacillati; Actinomycetota; Actinomycetes; Micromonosporales; Micromonosporaceae. The record is from RNAcentral.